This 253-nucleotide ribosomal RNA is filed under the name uncultured bacterium. RNAcentral's name for it is "partial 16S ribosomal RNA". It matches the Rfam family "Bacterial small subunit ribosomal RNA", at positions 524 to 776 of the family's 1533-position model. The record is from RNAcentral.
UACGGAAGGGGCAAGCGUUGUUCGGAAUCAUUGGGCGUAAAGGGCGUGUAGGUGGUUCUGUAUGUCUACCGUGAAAGCGUACGGCUCAACCGUAUUUAGUCGGUAGAAACUGCAGGACUUGAGGCUGGGAGGGGCUGGUGGAAUUCCCCGUGUAGCGGUGAAAUGCGUAGAGAUGGGGGAGAACACUCGUGGCGAAGGCGGCCAGCUAGACCAGUUCUGACGCUGAGGCGCGAUAGCGUGGGGAGCAAACAGG